RNAcentral lists this ribosomal RNA (463 nucleotides) under uncultured bacterium. RNAcentral's name for it is "partial 16S ribosomal RNA". It matches the Rfam family "Bacterial small subunit ribosomal RNA", at positions 28 to 507 of the family's 1533-position model. The record is from RNAcentral.
GACGAACGCUGGCGGCGUGCUUAACACAUGCAAGUCGAACGGAAAGGCCUUUUCGGAGGUACUCGAGUGGCGAACGGGUGAGUAACACGUGGGUGAUCUGCCCUGCACUCUGGGAUAAGCCUGGGAAACUGGGUCUAAUACCGGAUAGGACCGCACUUUAGUGUGUGUGGUGGAAAGUUUUUUCGGUGUAGGAUGAGCCCGCGGCCUAUCAGCUUGUUGGUGGGGUAAUGGCCUACCAAGGCGGCGACGGGUAGCCGGACUGAGAGGUUGGUCGGCCACAUUGGGACUGAGAUACGGCCCAGACUCCUACGGGAGGCAGCAGUGGGGAAGAUUGGACAAUGGGCGCAAGCCUGAUGCAGCGACGCCGCGUGGGGGAUGACGGCCUUCGGGUUGUAAACUCCUUUCGCCAGGGACGAAGCGUUUUGUGACGGUACCUGGAGAAGAAGCACCGGCUAACUACGUG